UGGGGACUAUUGGACAAUGGGCGAAAGCCUGAUCCAGCCAUGCCGCGUGUGUGAAGAAGGUCUUCGGAUUGUAAAGCACUUUAAGUUGGGAGGAAGGGCAUUAACCUAAUACGUUAGUGUUUUGACGUUACCGACAGAAUAAGCACCGGCUAACUCUGUGCCAGCAGCCGCGGUAAUACAGAGGGUGCAAGCGUUAAUCGGAAUUACUGGGCGUAAAGCGCGCGUAGGUGGUUUGUUAAGUUGGAUGUGAAAUCCCCGGGCUCAACCUGGGAACUGCAUUCAAAACUGACUGACUAGAGUAUGGUAGAGGGUGGUGGAAUUUCCUGUGUAGCGGUGAAAUGCGUAGAUAUAGGAAGGAACACCAGUGGCGAAGGCGACCACCUGGACUAAUACUGACACUGAGGUGCGAAAGCGUGGGGAGCAAACA
Molecule: ribosomal RNA, 427 nt
Filed under: uncultured bacterium
Lineage: Bacteria
Description: partial 16S ribosomal RNA
Rfam family: Bacterial small subunit ribosomal RNA
Source: RNAcentral